GUGAGGAAUAUUGCGCAAUGGAGGCAACUCUGACGCAGCCAUGCCGCGUGCAGGAAGAAGGCGCUACGCGUUGUAAACUGCUUUUAACCGGGAAGAAACCCCAGGACGUGUCCUGGGUUGACGGUACCGGAGGAAUAAGCACCGGCUAACUUCGUGCCAGCAGCCGCGGUAAUACGAAGGGUGCAAGCGUUAUCCGGAUUCAUUGGGUUUAAAGGGUGCGUAGGCGGAGCGUUAAGUCAGUGGUGAAAUCCUGCAGCUUAACUGUAGACUUGCCAUUGAUACUGGCGCUCUUGAGUGCGCUGGAAGUGGGCGGAAUGUGCCGUGUAGCGGUGAAAUGCUUAGAUAUGGCACAGAACACCAAUUGCGAAGGCAGCUCACUAAGGCGAUACUGACGCUGAGGCACGAAAGCGUGGGGAUCGAACAGGAUUAGAAACCCUAGUAGUCC
RNAcentral lists this ribosomal RNA (445 nucleotides) under uncultured bacterium. RNAcentral's name for it is "partial 16S ribosomal RNA". It matches the Rfam family "Bacterial small subunit ribosomal RNA", at positions 354 to 796 of the family's 1533-position model. The record is from RNAcentral.